RNAcentral lists this ribosomal RNA (446 nucleotides) under uncultured bacterium. RNAcentral's name for it is "partial 16S ribosomal RNA". It matches the Rfam family "Bacterial small subunit ribosomal RNA", at positions 338 to 795 of the family's 1533-position model. The record is from RNAcentral.
CCUACGGGAGGCAGCAGUCGAGAAUUAUUCACAAUGGGGGAAACCCUGAUGGUGCGACGCCGCGUGGGGGAAUGAAGGUCUUCGGAUUGUAAACCCCUGUCAUGUGGGUGCAAAUUAAAAAGAUAGUACCACAAGAGGAAGAGACGGCUAACUCUGUGCCAGCAGCCGCGGUAAUACAGAGGUCUCAAGCGUUGUUCGGAAUCACUGGGCGUAAGGCGUGCGUAGGCUGUUUCGUAAGUCGUGUGUGAAAGGCGCGGGCUCAACCCGCGGACGGCACAUGAUACUGCGAGACUAGAGUAAUGGAGGGGGAACCGGAAUUCUCGGUGUAGCAGUGAAAUGCGUAGAUAUCGAGAGGAACACUCGUGGCGAAGGCGGGUUCCUGGACAUUAACUGACGCUGAGGCACGAAGGCCAGGGGAGCGAAAGGGAUUAGAUACCCUGGUAGUC